ACGCUGGCGGCGUGCCUAACACAUGCAAGUCGAACGGAGUUGAGCCCUUCGGGACUUAACUUAGUGGCGAACGGGUGAGUAACGCGUGAGGAACCUGCCUCAAAGAGGGGGGACAACAGUUGGAAACGACUGCUAAUACCGCAUAAGACCACGGGAUCACAUAGUUCUGGGGUAAAAGAUUUAUCGGUUUGGGGUGGGCUCGCGUCCGAUUAGGUAGUUGGGUGAGGUAACGGCCCACCAAGCCGACGAUCGGUAGCCGACCUGAGAGGGUGAUCGGCCACAUUGGGACUGAGACACGGCCCAGACUCCUACGGGAGGCAGCAGUGGGGAAUAUUGCACAAUGGGGGAAACCCUGAUGCAGCGACGCCGCGUGAGUGAAGAAGUAUUUCGGUAUGUAAAGCUCUAUCAGCAGGGAAGAAAGUGACGGUACCUGAAUAAGAAGCCCCGGCUAACUACGUG
Molecule: ribosomal RNA, 459 nt
Filed under: uncultured bacterium
Lineage: Bacteria
Description: bacterial SSU rRNA
Rfam family: Bacterial small subunit ribosomal RNA
Source: RNAcentral